GGCGGCAGCGAAGUGCGAUAAGCACUGCGAUUUGCAGAAUUCCGUGAACCAGUAGAAAUCUCAACGCAUACUGCACAAAGGGGAUCUUUCCUCUUUGUACAUACAUAUCAGUGUC
RNAcentral lists this ribosomal RNA (115 nucleotides) under Perkinsus marinus ATCC 50983. RNAcentral describes it as "5.8S ribosomal RNA". It matches the Rfam family "5.8S ribosomal RNA", at positions 42 to 153 of the family's 154-position model. From Rfam's summary of the family: 5.8S ribosomal RNA (5.8S rRNA) is a component of the large subunit of the eukaryotic ribosome. It is transcribed by RNA polymerase I as part of the 45S precursor that also contains 18S and 28S rRNA. Lineage: Eukaryota; Perkinsozoa; Perkinsida; Perkinsidae. The record is from Rfam by way of RNAcentral.